UGCAGUCGAACGGAUCCUUCGGGAUUAGUGGCAGACGGGUGAGUAACGCGUGGGAAGCUACCUUGUGGUAGGGAACAACAGUUGGAAACGACUGCUAAUACCCUAUGAGCCCUAUGGGGGAAAGAUUUAUCGCCAUGAGAUGUGCCCGCGUUAGAUUAGCUAGUUGGUAAGGUAAUGGCUUACCAAGGCGACGAUCUAUAGCUGGUCUGAGAGGAUGAUCAGCCACACUGGGACUGAGACACGGCCCAGACUCCUACGGGAGGCAGCAGUGGGGAAUAUUGGACAAUGGGGGCAACCCUGAUCCAGCCAUGCCGCGUGAGUGAUGACGGCCUUAGGGUUGUAAAGCUCUUUCAGCAGUGAAGAUAAUGACAUUAACUGCAGAAGAAGCCCCGGCUAACUUCGUGCCAGCAGCCGCGGUAAUACGAAGGGGGCUAGCGUUGUUCGGAAUCACUGGGCGUAAAGCGUACGUAGGCGGACUGAUCAGUCAGGGGUGAAAUCCCGGGGCUCAACCCCGGAACUGCCUUUGAUACUGUCAGUCUUGAGAUCGAGAGAGGUGAGUGGAACUCCGAGUGUAGAGGUGAAAUUCGUAGAUAUUCGGAAGAACACCAGUGGCGAAGGCGGCUCACUGGCUCGAUACUGACGCUGAGGUACGAAAGCGUGGGGAGCAAACAGGAUUAGAUACCCUGGUAGUCCACGCCGUAUACGAUGAAUGCUAGUUGUCAGGUAGCUUGCUAUUUGGUGACGCAGCUAACGCAUUAAGCA
This 762-nucleotide ribosomal RNA is filed under the name alpha proteobacterium 7RSW-35. Its description in RNAcentral is "bacterial SSU rRNA". It matches the Rfam family "Bacterial small subunit ribosomal RNA", at positions 56 to 866 of the family's 1533-position model. Lineage: Bacteria; Pseudomonadati; Pseudomonadota; Alphaproteobacteria. The record is from RNAcentral.